RNAcentral lists this ribosomal RNA (250 nucleotides) under uncultured bacterium. RNAcentral describes it as "partial 16S ribosomal RNA". It matches the Rfam family "Bacterial small subunit ribosomal RNA", at positions 524 to 773 of the family's 1533-position model. The record is from RNAcentral.
AACGUAGGUGGCGAGCGUUAUCCGGAUUCACUGGGCGUAAAGCGCCUGCAGGCGGCCUGGCAAGUGGGACGUGAAAUCUCCCGGCUCAACCGGGAGGGGCCGUUCCAUACUGCGAGGCUGGAGGGCAGAAGAGGGAAGUGGAAUUCCCGGUGUAGUGGUGAAAUGCGUAGAGAUCGGGAGGAACACCAGUGGCGAAGGCGGCUUCCUGGUCUGCCCCUGACGCUGAGAGGCGAAAGCUAGGGGAGCGAAC